ACGAACGCUGGCGGCGUGCUUAACACAUGCAAGUCGCACGGAAAGGCCCUGCUUUUGUGGGGUGCUCGAGUGGCGAACGGGUGAGUAACACGUGAGUAACCUGCCCUUGACUUUGGGAUAACUUCAGGAAACUGGGGCUAAUACCGGAUAGGAGCUCCUGCUGCAUGGUGGGGGUUGGAAAGUUUCGGCGGUUGGGGAUGGACUCGCGGCUUAUCAGCUUGUUGGAGGGUAGUGGCUUACCAAGGCUUUGACGGGUAGCCGGCCUGAGAGGGUGACCGGCCACAUUGGGACUGAGAUACGGCCCAGACUCCUACGGGAGGCAGCAGUGGGGAAUAUUGCACAAUGGGCGGAAGCCUGAUGCAGCAACGCCGCGUGCGGGAUGACGGCCUUCGGGUUGUAAACCGCUUUCGCCUGUGACGAAGCGUGAGUGACGGUAAUGGGUAAAGAAGCACCGGCUAACUACGUG
RNAcentral lists this ribosomal RNA (466 nucleotides) under uncultured bacterium. RNAcentral describes it as "partial 16S ribosomal RNA". It matches the Rfam family "Bacterial small subunit ribosomal RNA", at positions 29 to 507 of the family's 1533-position model. The record is from RNAcentral.